RNAcentral lists this non-coding RNA (599 nucleotides) under Microtus rossiaemeridionalis. Lineage: Eukaryota; Metazoa; Chordata; Mammalia; Rodentia; Cricetidae. The record is from RNAcentral.
GACUGAUCACUUAUCACGUACAGUGAAGUGGGGGAGAAACAGGGAAUUCAAGGCGGCUUACUCCUCCCGCUUGGCAGAACACGAUGUCCGGUCACCUCUCUGACCAGAGCGAGGCCGUACACUCAUUCUGGCAGACACAUUAACUGGCCAGUUUCUUCACUCUCCUUAUAGUCAUCCUCUAGCUGCCUUGCUAAUCCCGGGAAGUAAGCAUAUGUCCCGACCCAGCCAUUUUACACGUUAUACAACACUGGAUUUCUGGCGCUGAGAAAACGGGGGCGGAAGGGGGAAACACAGACGAGCUUUCAUCACAGCGGAGUAGUCCCAGAUCCGCACCGCGCUCUCCACAAAUGGCUACGCCAGCUACGUAACCCGGAUAGUCAGCGGCGGCUUCCGCAGAUGACUGACCGCUCGCGGUUCCUCUAAAAUCUGCCUGUGUUUGCUCUUUUUAUAUGUUUCUCCCUCUUCUUGCCCAUCUUCCCUUUGUUUUUCCUUUUCCCCGCUGGAGUUUCUUCUUUCUGCUUCUGUAUAGAAGAGGGCUUUGUGUUGCAUUCUGAGACCUGUGUCGGAGCAGCCUCUGUAGUUUUAGCCGCCAGGAUUGC